RNAcentral lists this ribosomal RNA (422 nucleotides) under uncultured bacterium. RNAcentral describes it as "bacterial SSU rRNA". It matches the Rfam family "Bacterial small subunit ribosomal RNA", at positions 355 to 774 of the family's 1533-position model. The record is from RNAcentral.
UGAGGAAUAUUGGGCAAUGCCCGCAAGGGUGACCCAGCAACGCCGCGUGGAGGAUGAAUGUCGUAAGAUUGUAAACUCCUGUUAGAGGGGAAGAAUAGUACCGGUUGGACCGGUAUAUGACUGUACCCUCAGAGAAAGCCCCGGCUAACUACGUGCCAGCAGCCGCGGUAAUACGUAGGGGGCAAGCGUUGUCCGGAUUUACUGGGUGUAAAGGGCGCGCAGGCGGGAUAAAAAGUCAGUGGUGAAAUCCUACAGCUUAACUGUAGAACUGCCUUUGAUACUUUCAUUCUUGAGUUUGGGAGAGAGAGACGGAAUUCCAGGUGUAGUGGUGAAAUACGUAGAUAUCUGGAAGAACACCAGUUGCGAAGGCGGUCUCUUGGUCCGACACUGACGCUGAGGCGCGAAAGCGUGGGGAGCAAACA